GCGUUGUAAAAUAGGGAGGUUGCGCGUCGGGUUUUCGGCCUCCGGAGCCGAAGGCCACAGGUUCGAAUCCUGUCGGGCGCGCCA
RNAcentral lists this transfer RNA (84 nucleotides) under Acidobacteriota bacterium. RNAcentral describes it as "Acidobacteria bacterium tRNA-Arg". The stretch from base 24 to 81 matches the Rfam family "tRNA". Rfam says of the family: Transfer RNA (tRNA) molecules are approximately 80 nucleotides in length. Their secondary structure includes four short double-helical elements and three loops (D, anti-codon, and T loops). Further hydrogen bonds mediate the characteristic L-shaped molecular structure. tRNAs have two regions of fundamental functional importance: the anti-codon, which is responsible for specific mRNA codon recognition, and the 3' end, to which the tRNAs corresponding amino acid is attached (by aminoacyl-tRNA synthetases). tRNAs cope with the degeneracy of the genetic code in two manners: having more than one tRNA (with a specific anti-codon) for a particular amino acid; and 'wobble' base-pairing, i.e. permitting non-standard base-pairing at the 3rd anti-codon position. The record is from RNAcentral. Lineage: Bacteria; Pseudomonadati; Acidobacteriota.